UUCCCGGCUCCUGGUCGCCAUGGGGGCAAUGGGGGCUGUGCCACCCCCCCCUGUGGGGCCGAGCCAAGAGGAGCCGCGUCCGCCGCUGCCGCCCCAUAGAGCCGCAGUACCCGCUGAUGACGACCAAGGUGGGUUCCGCCACCCCUGUGAACGUCACUUUCUGGGGGGAGGCGCUGCCCCGUUGCGCCCCACUUUUGGGGCAGACGAGAGAGCUGGAGGAGAGCCGGCCCUGCCUGCAUCCGUGGGGCUGCCCCACAGAUGGGGAGGACUGACGGCCGCCGGACCCCCAGAUCUGCGCCUUUCCCCCCAAUUUCCUCCCCUCAAUAAAACCCCAGCAAUGCAGCGCUGUCUCUUUAAAUCUGGGCGGGGCUACAACCGGACGUGACGUCACCGGCACCUCACCUACGCCCCGCCCACCUCCACUGCAGAACCGAGGGCGGGGCGGCGAGUGACGUCACCGCGAAGCCACGCCUCCCCCUCCCCCCCCUUCCUCCUGUUUGGCUGCAGCGGCUUGUGGGCGUGGCUUGGGAGGAGGAGGCGUGGCCUCGCCGCGUUGUGGGGCGUGGUUUGCGAGCCUAGUGGGCGUGGCUGGAGCGUUUGUGGGCGUGGUUACGGGGGGUAGGUAAUGAGGCAGGAGCGGAAGUGACGUCACGGGGAGGGGGCGGGGCUUCCCCGAGGGCUGCAGCCGGGCUCCUAUAGGGCUCCUAUAGGGCCGCCCCACAGCUCCCCCUAUAGGGCUCCUAUAGGGCUGCCCCACAGCUCCCUCUAUAGGGCUCCUAUAGGGCUGCCCCACAGCUCCCUCUAUAGGGCCCGGCAGCUCUUUCCCCCUGCCCCCCCCAUCCUUCUUCCCCUAUAGGAGCCCCUAUAGAUUUUCCCCCCUAUAGCCCCCCCCACCCCAUAGAUCCUAUACAUCCCCUAUAGGGCUCCCUAUAGAUCCUUUCCCCCUAUAGCGCCCCACAGACCCCACAUCUCCCCUCCCCAUCCCUUCCCCCCUAUAAGAACCUCCUAGACCCCCCAGAUCCCUUUCCCCUAUAGGGCUCCUCAUCCAACCCCCCCCUAUAGAACCCCCCCACACACCCUAUAGGGACUCCCCCUAUAGAAGGGCCACCCUAUAGGGUGAGACCAUAUAGCAGGCCCUUAUAGGGGAUCCUGGUCUUUUAUAGGGCCCACCCCAUAGGAUUCCCCAUAGACCCCAUAGGAUCCCCUGUAGGACCCCAUAGAAACCCCUAUAGGACCCCAUAGGAACCCCUAUAGGACCCCAUAGGAUCCCCUAUAGGACCCCAUAGGAUCCCUUAUAGGACCCCAUAGAAUCUCCUAUAGGACCCCAUAGGAUCCCUUAUAGGACCCCAUAGAAACCUCUAUAGGACCCCAUAGGAACCCCUAUAGGACCCCAUAGGAUCCCCUAUAGGACCCCAUAGGAUCCCUUAUAGGACCCCAUAGGAUCCCUCAUCCCCACCAAGGACCCCAUAGACCCUAUAGCUCCCCCCCCCAUCCCCUAUAAAGCCCAGCAGCCCCAUAGGACCCCAUAGGACCCCCUUCCCCUAUAGGGACCCUUUUCUCCCCUAUAGGACCCUCCUUAGAGCCCCCCCGGAGACCCCAAAGAUCCCACUGUCCCUAUAGAGCCCUAUAGGGCCUCCACAAACCCCAUAGGACCCCCCCCCCCCGGCCCCUAUAGGGACCCCAUAGCCCCUAUAGAACCCCCCCAUAGG
Lagopus muta (rock ptarmigan) is the source of this 1709-nucleotide long non-coding RNA. RefSeq lists it as uncharacterized. Lineage: Eukaryota; Metazoa; Chordata; Aves; Galliformes; Phasianidae. The transcript has 3 exons. The record is from RefSeq and is a predicted model, not a curated record.